UACGUAGGUGGCGAGCGUUAUCCGGAAUUAUUGGGCGUAAAGAGCGCGCAGGUGGUUGAUUAAGUCUGAUGUGAAAGCCCACGGCUUAACCGUGGAGGGUCAUUGGAAACUGGUCGACUUGAGUGCAGAAGAGGGAAGUGGAAUUCCAUGUGUAGCGGUGAAAUGCGUAGAGAUAUGGAGGAACACCAGUGGCGAAGGCGGCUUCCUGGUCUGUAACUGACACUGAGGCGCGAAAGUGUGGGGAGCAAACAGGAUUAGAUA
This 261-nucleotide ribosomal RNA is filed under the name uncultured prokaryote. RNAcentral describes it as "partial 16S ribosomal RNA". It matches the Rfam family "Bacterial small subunit ribosomal RNA", at positions 524 to 784 of the family's 1533-position model. The record is from RNAcentral.